UCUGGCAGUGGCGGACGGGUGAGUAACGCGUAGGUAUCUAUCUUUGGGUGGGGGACAACCGUGGGAAACUACGGCUAAUACCGCAUGACGACCGAGGUCCAAAGGCGCAAGUCGCCUGGGGAGGAGCCUGCGUCCGAUUAGCUUGUUGGUGGGGUAACGGCCUACCAAGGCGACGAUCGGUAGCUGGUCUGAGAGGAUGAUCAGCCACACUGGGACUGAGACACGGCCCAG
This 231-nucleotide ribosomal RNA is filed under the name uncultured bacterium. RNAcentral describes it as "partial 16S ribosomal RNA". It matches the Rfam family "Bacterial small subunit ribosomal RNA", at positions 88 to 334 of the family's 1533-position model. The record is from RNAcentral.